RNAcentral lists this ribosomal RNA (200 nucleotides) under uncultured bacterium. RNAcentral's name for it is "partial 16S ribosomal RNA". It matches the Rfam family "Bacterial small subunit ribosomal RNA", at positions 30 to 234 of the family's 1533-position model. The record is from RNAcentral.
AUUGAACGCUGGCGGCAGGCCUAACACAUGCAAGUCGAGCGGUUGAGGUAGCUUGCUACCGAUGCAGCGGCGAACGGGUGAGUAAUACAUGGGAAUCUGCCUGGUAGUGGGGGACAACGUUUCGAAAGGAACGCUAAUACCGCAUACGCCCUACGGGGAAAGGGGGGAUCGCAAGACCUCCCGCUAUCAGAUGAGCCCAU